This is a long non-coding RNA of Ornithodoros turicata, 317 nucleotides long. RefSeq lists it as uncharacterized. The record is from RefSeq and is a predicted model, not a curated record. Lineage: Eukaryota; Metazoa; Arthropoda; Arachnida; Ixodida; Argasidae. The transcript is spliced from 3 exons.
ACGAGAGACGCGGUGACAUCUCAGCCGCGUAAUUCAGUGCGUUCGUGAUAAAUGACUACCCCUGAAUACUAACCGUGUGCUCGUAAACUUUAGUAUCCACGCCGUCGUCGACGUUAUACUGACACGACAGACCCAGACGUCAGCUGCGGCUACUACCGCCCACCGAUCCGGGCUCAUAGAGGGCUUGAAGGGACACUGAAGCACUCCAGUGGAAUAGGUGAUACUGUACAAAAAGGCCUUCAAGGGACACUGAAGCACUCUAUUGAUAUGUCUGGCGGCACAGUUCAGCUCUCCAUCAAUAUGCUACUAUACAGUCA